GAUAGUCCGACCUCUGCAAUCCAGGGUCGAUCUCCCCAGAAGCUUGGAGGGACUCUAGGUCUGCACCAACAGGGCUGUGAGCCUAUAAAAGAAAAAGUUAAAGCCGAACAAACAAGCAGUCAGACUGAAACACAGCCCGUAUAAGGCUCGACAAGAAAGCAAGAAAUCAAGUCUGACUUUACAAAAGAGCUCGGGGCAUCA
RNAcentral lists this long non-coding RNA (201 nucleotides) under Manihot esculenta (cassava). RNAcentral's name for it is "long non-coding RNA (MESC_LNC003506)". The record is from RNAcentral. Lineage: Eukaryota; Viridiplantae; Streptophyta; Magnoliopsida; Malpighiales; Euphorbiaceae.